AUUGAACGCUGGCGGCAUGCUUUACACAUGCAAGUCGAACGGCAGCGCGGGCUUCGGCCUGGCGGCGAGUGGCGAACGGGUGAGUAAUACAUCGGAACGUGCCCAGUAGUGGGGGAUAGCUCGGCGAAAGCCGGGUUAAUACCGCAUACGACCUGAGGGUGAAAGCGGGGGAUCUUCGGACCUCGCGCUAUUGGAGCGGCCGAUGGCAGAUUAGCUAGUUGGUGGGGUAAAGGCCUACCAAGGCGACGAUCUGUAGCUGGUCUGAGAGGACGACCAGCCACACUGGGACUGAGACACGGCCCAGACUCCUACGGGAGGCAGCAGUGGGGAAUUUUGGACAAUGGGCGAAAGCCUGAUCCAGCAAUGCCGCGUGUGUGAUGAAGGCCUUCGGGUUGUAAAGCACCUUUGGCGGGAACGAAAAGGACUGUGCCAAUACCACGGUUCGAUGACGGUACCCGCAGAAUAAGCACCGGCUAACUACGUG
Molecule: ribosomal RNA, 484 nt
Filed under: uncultured bacterium
Lineage: Bacteria
Description: partial 16S ribosomal RNA
Rfam family: Bacterial small subunit ribosomal RNA
Source: RNAcentral